CCUACGGGCGGCUGCAGUGGGGAAUAUUGGACAAUGGGGGCAACCCUGAUCCAGCCAUGCCGCGUGUGUGAAGAAGGCCCUCGGGUUGUAAAGCACUUUCAGUGAGGAAGAACGCCUGGUGGUUAAUACCCAUCAGGAAAGACAUCACUCACAGAAGAAGCACCGGCUAACUCCGUGCACAGCAGCCGCGGUAAUACGGAGGGUGCGAGCGUGAAUCGGAAUUACUGGGCGUAAAGCGCGCGUAGGUGGCGUGAUAAGCCGGUUGUGAAAGCCCCGGGCUCAACCUGGGAACGGCAUCCGGAACUGUCGAGCUAGAGUGCAGGAGAGGAAGGUAGAAUUCCCGGUGUAGCGGUGAAAUGCGUAGAGAUCGGGAGGAAUACCAGUGGCGAAGGCGGCCUUCUGGACUGACACUGACACUGAGGUGCGAAAGCGUGGGUAGCAAACAGGAUUAGAUACCCCUGUAGUC
RNAcentral lists this ribosomal RNA (466 nucleotides) under Vreelandella stevensii. RNAcentral describes it as "partial 16S ribosomal RNA". It matches the Rfam family "Bacterial small subunit ribosomal RNA", at positions 338 to 795 of the family's 1533-position model. The record is from RNAcentral. Lineage: Bacteria; Pseudomonadati; Pseudomonadota; Gammaproteobacteria; Oceanospirillales; Halomonadaceae.